UCGGGUGACGAGCGGCGGACGGGUGAGUAAUGUCUGGGAAACUGCCUGAUGGAGGGGGAUAACUACUGGAAACGGUAGCUAAUACCGCAUAACGUCGCAAGACCAAAGUGGGGGACCUUCGGGCCUCAUGCCAUCAGAUGUGCCCAGAUGGGAUUAGCUAGUAGGUGGGGUAACGGCUCACCUAGGCGACGAUCCCUAGCUGGUCUGAGAGGAUGACCAGCCACACUGGAACUGAGACACGGUCCAGACUCCUACGGGAGGCAGCAGUGGGGAAUAUUGCACAAUGGGCGCAAGCCUGAUGCAGCCAUGCCGCGUGUAUGAAGAAGGCCUUCGGGUUGUAAAGUACUUUCAGCGGGGAGGAAGGCGAUAAGGUUAAUAACCUUGUCGAUUGACGUUACCCGCAGAAGAAGCACCGGCUAACUCCGUGCCAGCAGCCGCGGUAAUACGGAGGGUGCAAGCGUUAAUCGGAAUUACUGGGCGUAAAGCGCACGCAGGCGGUCUGUCAAGUCGGAUGUGAAAUCCCCGGGCUCAACCUGGGAACUGCAUUCGAAACUGGCAGGCUAGAGUCUUGUAGAGGGGGGUAGAAUUCCAGGUGUAGCGGUGAAAUGCGUAGAGAUCUGGAGGAAUACCGGUGGCGAAGGCGGCCCCCUGGACAAAGACUGACGCUCAGGUGCGAAAGCGUGGGGAGCAAACAGGAUUAGAUACCCUGGUAGUCCACGCCGUAAACGAUGUCGAUUUGGAGGUUGUGCCCUUGAGGCGUGGCUUCCGGAGCUAACGCGUUAAAUCGACCGCCUGGGGAGUACGGCCGCAAGGUUAAAACUCAAAUGAAUUGACGGGGGCCCGCACAAGCGGUGGAGCAUGUGGUUUAAUUCGAUGCAACGCGAAGAACCUUACCUGGUCUUGACAUCCACAGAACUUAGCAGAGAUGCUUUGGUGCCUUCGGGAACUGUGAGACAGGUGCUGCAUGGCUGUCGUCAGCUCGUGUUGUGAAAUGUUGGGUUAAGUCCCGCAACGAGCGCAACCCUUAUCCU
This 1031-nucleotide ribosomal RNA is filed under the name Klebsiella pneumoniae. Its description in RNAcentral is "bacterial SSU rRNA". It matches the Rfam family "Bacterial small subunit ribosomal RNA", at positions 84 to 1111 of the family's 1533-position model. Lineage: Bacteria; Pseudomonadati; Pseudomonadota; Gammaproteobacteria; Enterobacterales; Enterobacteriaceae. The record is from RNAcentral.